RNAcentral lists this transfer RNA (69 nucleotides) under Rattus norvegicus (Norway rat). It matches the Rfam family "tRNA". Rfam says of the family: Transfer RNA (tRNA) molecules are approximately 80 nucleotides in length. Their secondary structure includes four short double-helical elements and three loops (D, anti-codon, and T loops). The record is from Rfam by way of RNAcentral. Lineage: Eukaryota; Metazoa; Chordata; Mammalia; Rodentia; Muridae.
GGGGAUUUAGUUCAGUGGUAGACCGCUUGUCUAGCAAGCAUAAGGCCCUGGGUUCGGUCCCCAGCUCCG